AAUAAUAAUAAUUUUAUUUUUAUACCCCGCCCCAUCUCCCCGGAGGGACUCAGGGCGGCUUACAUGGGGCCAAGCCCAGUCAUCAACAAUAUAAAAACAAAGCAAUAAAACAGAUCAAACAACAAUAAAAACAAGUCAUAAAAAAUCACAUACAAAAAUAUAAUGAUAAACUCUUGGAUUAGAUCCAGAGGAAACUGGGCCAAAAGUGCUAGUUAUGUCGAUAUCAUCAGGGAGGGGUGGUUAUCCAAAUUGUCAUAGCCAUCAAAGUGCUAGGGAAGGUGCACAUACGGGAUAGGCAACAGGUCGAUCCUACUAGAUUAGUUGCCAAAGGCCUGUUGGAAGAGCCAAGUUUUCAGGAUCUUCCAAAAGGAGAGGAGGGUAGGGGCCUGCCUGAUCUCCCUGGGGAGCGAGUUCCAGAGCCGGGGGGCCCACGACGGAGAAGGCCCUCUCCCUCGUCCCCACCAACUGCAAGCAAGAGGAGGGCCUCCCCCGACAAGCAAAGAGAUUGUGCAGGUUCAUAGGGGAAAAUGCGGUCAUGAAGGUAGGUGGGUCCCAAACCGUUUAGGGCUUUGUAGGUAAUGACCUGCACCUUGAAUUGGGCUCGGAAAAUAACUGUGCAAUACAGUUGAGUACCGUGAGCUAGGCAAAUCUAUAUAGUAAACCAGGAAACUUAAAACUUCAGCACCACCAAUAGUCAAGAAUAAUAUCUGAGUAUAUGAUCUUAAAGUGGGAGAUUGAAGCAGGUUAAAUCUCUUUCUUUGAAUGUCUUAAAGUACCAACAACCAAUUUCCUCUACAAUGUUUUGAGAAAUAAAAUACAUGUUAAAGGAGGUUAUUUAUUUAUUUAUUUAUUUCUAUAAUUUCUACCCCACCCUUCUCACCCACAGGGACUCAAGGCAGUAAUUAUGUAAGUAAUUAUAUGAAUUAUGUUCAUUAUGUUCAUUAAGUUACAAACUGAGCACCCCCGAGGUCUUAAUGAACAUAAUUCAUAUAAUUACUUCAUGUGAAUCUGUACUUGGUAUUUCUUACCACACUAUAAAUUCCAACCAAACUGGGAGAACCACCAGUGCCAUCUAGUGUUGAGUAACACAUAUAUGAAUAUACUCAGUAACCCCAUAUUGCUUUAAAUGAAUAAUGGCUACCUGAAAUCAUCCCACCUGAGGACAAAACUUCCCAUUAUAUUGUGAGGUUACCAAAUAACAGUUUAUACUCGCUAUAAGAAUCAACCAAGAGCCAGCAGAGUAUCAACACUGUGAGUAUAUAAAUAAGAUACUAUCUUAAUUGAAACUUAAAAAUCUUAAAUUAUGUUAUAGCCACUGUUUGUUCCUUUUAUUUAGACCCACUCUAGAAAAAAAGAGAAGAAGACAUAAAAACACAACUAGAAAGAGGAGCAUAAAGGGUAUACAUAUGAAUGUACUAUUAUUAAUUCACUUGAAGAAGACCUAGUCGAAACCGGUCGUGAUCUACUGUGACCUACUUGCUCUUCAGCACAAUGAACUGAUUGAAUAAGUGAACAAUUAUAUAUAGAACAUAUAUUGUUGAGGGAUCUACUGUGACCUACUUGCUCUUCAACACAAUGAACUGAUUGAAUAAGUGAACAAUUAUAUAUAGAACAUAUAUUGUUGAGCUACAGUCAUUUUUGAUGUAUGGAUUAUGUUUAUUACAAUUGUGAAUUCUGAA
Long non-coding RNA from Anolis carolinensis (green anole), 1679 nucleotides. RefSeq lists it as uncharacterized. The transcript has 2 exons. NCBI's taxonomy places the organism in Eukaryota, Metazoa, Chordata, Lepidosauria, Squamata, Anolidae. The record is from RefSeq and is a predicted model, not a curated record.